GAUGAACGCUGGCGGCGUGCCUAAUACAUGCAAGUCGAGCGAACGGACGAGAAGCUUGCUUCUCUGAUGUUAGCGGCGGACGGGUGAGUAACACGUGGACAACCUACCUAUAAGACUGGGAUAACUUCGGGAAACCGGAGCUAAUACCGGAUAAUAUUUUGAACCGCAUGGUUCAAAAGUGAAAGACGGUCUUGCUGUCACUUAUAGAUGGAUCCGCGCUGCAUUAGCUAGUUGGUAAGGUAACGGCUUACCAAGGCAACGAUGCAUAGCCGACCUGAGAGGGUGAUCGGCCACACUGGAACUGAGACACGGUCCAGACUCCUACGGGAGGCAGCAGUAGGGAAUCUUCCGCAAUGGGCGAAAGCCUAACGGAGCAACGCCGCGUGAGUGAUGAAGGUCUUCGGAUCGUAAAACUCUGUUAUUAGGGAAGAACAUAUGUGUAAGUAACUGUGCACAUCUUGACGGUACCUAAUCAGAAAGCCACGGCUAACUACGUG
RNAcentral lists this ribosomal RNA (497 nucleotides) under uncultured bacterium. RNAcentral describes it as "partial 16S ribosomal RNA". It matches the Rfam family "Bacterial small subunit ribosomal RNA", at positions 28 to 507 of the family's 1533-position model. The record is from RNAcentral.